Molecule: long non-coding RNA, 1231 nt
Organism: Bombyx mori (domestic silkworm)
Lineage: Eukaryota; Metazoa; Arthropoda; Insecta; Lepidoptera; Bombycidae
Exons: 2
Source: RefSeq, a predicted model, not a curated record
UUCACACGAAUCAAAAGUUUUACUAAUGAAUUUAUAAUAACGAUGAAUUCUUGUAAAAAAUCAAUAACAUUUAGGUUCGAAAAUAAGCGAUCCCUUGAAGGAGCAAAAUUCAAAGUAAUAUUUGUCUAACACGAAGUAAUUAAUUCCAAAGUUAUGGAUUCCUUUUCGGGCUCGGCUUUUAUAGGUCUGGUUUUCUCAGCACAGUCAGCUGUGCGCGAAAUUGGUUCUCAUCUCCCCAACAACCCCAGCCACACCCGACGACACCCUUUUUGGUGACGUCACGGCAGGCUUGCUGACGUCAUCGCGUCAUAGACAAGGCGGCCACGAACUUACGAACGAGUGCCCUUAAUCGAUUUCGAGGUUUUGCUUCUGGCGAGCUUCUUAUGUAUUUGCAGAAGGGUAUGUACGUAGUUCUUGGAUUACGGAUUGUUUGGUAGAAUCCUUGUUAGAUUUAGUUUUAAAAUACCUCGUUUCCCUUUGAUAUAUACUUAACAGAGCUGUUAAAUAUAACUAUAGGUAUUAUUACAUUAUUAUUAUUUUUCAGAACAUUAUAAUAGAGAAAAAUUUUCAAGUGUUGUUUGUUUUAAAUGCGCAAAUGACUUAAAUAAGUAGAAACUCCUGCCGGAAAUCGAAAACGUAAGAUCAUAGUCCCAUAAAAAGAGAACUAUAUUAAUCUGCUAGCCUCUACAUACGGAGAUUCGGGAAGUUCCAAUUUUAUGUACCCACAACUAAUGCCAAGGAAGUUGGCAGACGUCUGCACCACGUCACACGAGACCAUUGACUUUGUGCGUCAGCUGAUUUUUAUCGUCUUACUUUGCAUGAAGUAAAAAGUCAAUUACUUAUGGUAUUUUCCGAUCUAGAAUUUACAAUCGUCCAUCAGUAGUCAGCACUAUCAUCUACGAGCUUUCGGUGUCAAUUCCUUAACAUCUAGUGUGUUUCCAGAGAGUUUUGCCACGUAACAUCCGACUUUGGAAUGAGCUCAACUCGACGGUGUUUCCCGAGCGUUAUGACCUGUCUUUCUUCAAACAAAGCUGGUGGAGAGUACUUAAGGGCCUACCCACAGCGGCCUGCCUACAGCGGCUUGACUCUGCCCUUGAUAUUGCUGAAGUCCAUGGGCGACGGUAACCACUCACAAUCAGAUGGGCCAUAUGCGUUUCGCCAAGAGGGGCAAUAAAAAAAAUUGUAAAGAUUUUUUGUUAUUUUACUCAAAUAAACUCUAGACUCAGACAAA